UUGGUCGUCGGAUCUUCACAUCGAGUCAAUCUUGUCCGUUGAUUCUAGGCAGAAAACAAGUGUUCAGAUUGGUCCUCCCGCUAGCUAACCCCAUGCAACAGCCAUGUGUUACCCGCCAGCAACUGCGCGUGGGUUCCACUUCUGUCCGGGCCCGCACGUCGGUCACUCGGGUCGAUUUCGUCCGGUCAGACUUGCCUUCGGGUCGGGAAAAAGAUCUCCACCCGCAGGGGUAGAUUGGGUAUUUCCUCACACCGCGACCAGAUCAGGCAAAACUGCAGCCCGUGGUCCAAAACCUAACCAGUCGUGCUCCUCCCCCAAUCUCUUCGUUCUCCACCGCCGCCUCCCCAUCCGCUGCUCCCCGCCGCCUCCCCAUCCGCCGCUCCCCGCCGCGGCCGCCGUCGCCCCGCUCUGCCGCCGCUUCUCCCUCCUCUGGCCGAUCUCCGUCGUCGCCAUGGCUGGCCAGGAGCAGGGCGCGAGCGCCGCCUCCCGUCGUCGCCAUGGCUGGCCCGGAGCAGCACCAGUCUUGGGGGCAACCGUCGCUUCCCAUCGUCUCCAUGGCUGUCCAGGAGUAAGGCCGACCCAGCCGCCACUCCCUCUUUCCCUCUCUCCCGAGGCCGACCUCGUGGGAAGCUGCGCUCUGCUCCUCCCUCUUCUCUCUUGGCGAGGAGGCAAAAGGGAUUGACGGAUCUAGGCAGGCUCCCAGCUGCAGCCUCGUCCCUCGCUCCAUCUCCAUCGAGGGAGUGAGCUCGAGGGCAGCCAAGAUCAGAGGAGGCGUCCUCCAUGGCGGAUGUACGGACAGGCCAAGACCAGAGCGUGAAGGUUUUGGAGCUAAAGACCAUUAGCUGCUACGAGCUAAGACUUCAUACAUAUAUACUUUUCUUUCUUCCUAGCAUCAAUAUUACAAUAAUCAUUGAUAUCUGGUCCAAACUGGAAAGGUCACAUUAUCGGACAAGGGUAGAGAAGGAUCAGUAGAACAUGAAUGGGCUACAUGCCCAUCUAUUUUUGUGAUUCAAGAGGUGGCCGCCUCCCUAUCUACCUCUCGGAAGUGGCCGCCGUGGUACUUGAUCGUGGCCAAGCGAUUCAGCGCCGAGGUCAUCGACCUCACCAAAGAGAUCUUCUCUUACAAGGCGUGACAUUAUUGGAGCCAUCUCCUGGUACUUUCUGUGUUGUAUCCUAAUAGUAACCUCGCACGCAAUGCUAUAAUGCAGGCCCUUGGGCUUGUCAAACUGUCUCCAGGGAUUUGAAGCUCCAUUUAAAUUAUGCUGCGGUCAGGUUAUCAGGUGAGCCUAUGUGCUUAUUCACAUUAAUUUUUUUUAUAGCAGAUUUCAUUGUAUCCAAGAAACCUAAGUAAUCAGAAGUAUGGCUCACUCAUGUGAGUCUUAUACAUUAGGGAUAUUCAUAUACAAUUACAUUGAAGCCGGUACUAACUUCUGCUACU
This is a non-coding RNA of Lolium perenne, 1438 nucleotides long. Lineage: Eukaryota; Viridiplantae; Streptophyta; Magnoliopsida; Poales; Poaceae. The record is from RefSeq and is a predicted model, not a curated record.